UUAAGAUUUAAACUGUAUGUGAACUUCCAUCCAGUAUUGUAUAUUUCAUUUCAUUGUGGGUCUUUUUCCAUUUUGCGUUUUAAAUGCCCUUAUUUUAAUUUUCUCCUUUCUUGUGUAGAGCUGAGCAGCUAGCCAGUGUACAGUAUACACUUCCAAAAACAGCAGGCGGAGACCGUGCUGACUUCUGGAGAUUCAGAGGUCUUCGCAGCUCCAAGAGAAAUCUUCGAAAAAGCAGAGAGGAUUUGUCCGCUCAGCCUGUUCAAACAAAGUUUCCAGCUUAUGAAAGAGUGGUUCUUCGAGAAGCUGGAUUUCUGAGGCCUGUAACCAUUUUUGGACCAAUAGCUGAUGUUGCCAGAGAAAAGCUGGCAAGAGAAGAACCAGAUAUUUAUCAAAUUGCAAGUAAGUAGCCUCAAGGCUAACUUAAAUGAGGUUGGGAGUUACACCUCUAAAGUGAGUGAGUUCUGAUUCACUCAUUCAAUAAAAAUAAGACUUUUUGUCAGUGAAAAAUUAGCAGUUUAUCCCAUUCUUUUAAUUUGGUGAGAAAACCCCAGUGACCAUGUCCUUGUUCCACCAAUUCUUUUAAUGAGAAAAAUCACCGUUUAGGAAACUCUUGGCUUCAUAUGAAAAUUGCAUAACAUACAAUGUCAUUGAAUCCUCCCAGUCAUGCUCUGAGGUAAGGAGUAUAAUAUCCAUGUUAC
This 698-nucleotide small RNA is filed under the name Pan troglodytes (chimpanzee). RNAcentral describes it as "retained intron". Lineage: Eukaryota; Metazoa; Chordata; Mammalia; Primates; Hominidae. The record is from RNAcentral.